This is a non-coding RNA of Danio rerio (zebrafish), 71 nucleotides long. The record is from Rfam. Lineage: Eukaryota; Metazoa; Chordata; Actinopteri; Cypriniformes; Danionidae.
GUAUUGGUGGUUCAGUGGUAGAAUUCUCGCCUGCCACGCGGGAUACUUGGGUCCGAUUCCCGGCCAAUGCA